Molecule: transfer RNA, 64 nt
Filed under: Eospalax rothschildi (Rothschild's zokor)
Lineage: Eukaryota; Metazoa; Chordata; Mammalia; Rodentia; Spalacidae
Description: tRNA-Lys
Source: RNAcentral
CAUUGUGAAGCUUUUAGCGUUAACCUUUUAAGUUAAAGAUAGGGAAUAACCUUCUCCACAUUGA